Molecule: ribosomal RNA, 440 nt
Filed under: uncultured bacterium
Lineage: Bacteria
Description: partial 16S ribosomal RNA
Rfam family: Bacterial small subunit ribosomal RNA
Source: RNAcentral
CCUACGGGAGGCAGCAGUGGGGAAUAUUGCACAAUGGGGGAAACCCUGAUGCAGCGACGCCGCGUGAGUGAAGAAGUAAUUCGUUAUGUAAAGCUCUAUCAGCAGGGAAGAAAAUUACGGUACCUGAGUAAGAAGCCCCGGCUAACUACGUUCCAGCAGCCGCGGUACUACGGAGGGGGCAAGCGUUAUCCGGAUUUACUGGGUGUAAAGGGAGCGUAGACGGCAGUGCAAGUCUGGAGUGAAAGUCGGGGGCUCAACCCCCGGACUGCUCUUGAAACUGUACGGCUGGAGUGCAGGAGAGGUAGGUGGAAUUCCUAGUGUAGCGGUGAAAUGCGUAGAUAUUAGGAGGAACACCAGUGGCGAAGGCGGCUUACUGAACUGUAACUGACGUUGAGGCUCGAAAGCGUGGGGAGCAAACAGGAUUAGAUACCCCUGUAGUC